GAUGAACGCUGGCGGCGUGCCUAAUACAUGCAAGUCGAGCGAACGGACGAGAAGCUUGCUUCUCUGAUGUUAGCGGCGGACGGGUGAGUAACACGUGGAUAACCUACCUAUAAGACUGGGAUAACUUCGGGAAACCGGAGCUAAUACCGGAUAAUAUUUUGAACCGCAUGGUUCAAAAGUGGAAGACGGUCUUGCUGUCACUUAUAGAUGGAUCCGCGCUGCAUUAGCUAGUUGGUAAGGUAACGGCUUACCAAGGCAACGAUGCAUAGCCGACCUGAGAGGGUGAUCGGCCACACUGGAACUGAGACACGGUCCAGACUCCCACGGGAGGCAGCAGUAGGGAAUCUUCCGCAAUGGGCGAAAGCCUGACGGAGCAACGCCGCGUGAGUGAUGAAGGUCUUCGGAUCGUAAAACUCUGUUAUUAGGGAAGAACAUAUGUGUAAGUAACUGCGCACAUCUUGACGGUACCUAAUCAGAAAGCCACGGCUAACUACGUG
RNAcentral lists this ribosomal RNA (497 nucleotides) under uncultured bacterium. Its description in RNAcentral is "partial 16S ribosomal RNA". It matches the Rfam family "Bacterial small subunit ribosomal RNA", at positions 28 to 507 of the family's 1533-position model. The record is from RNAcentral.